Molecule: ribosomal RNA, 429 nt
Filed under: Triticum aestivum (bread wheat)
Lineage: Eukaryota; Viridiplantae; Streptophyta; Magnoliopsida; Poales; Poaceae
Description: partial small subunit ribosomal RNA
Source: RNAcentral
AUGAAUGCUCCAGCCAACAGCACUGAAUGGGCGGACCUAAUUGUCAAGGAGAUGUCGUCCGCUUCGGAUCUGAACGACGCCAGGAAUCGAGCCUUCAGGAUACUUGAAAUGUUCGGCAAAUCUACCGCAAACUGCAGUACUCCUAAUGAAGCGCAGAAAAUGCGCGAGGAGAACAAGAUACUGAAGCAGAUGCUGGGAGGCCUGCUUCAGCAGUCCAGCAUCCUGAAGCGAGCCGUCGUCAUCCAGCACAACCGGCUCAACGACUACAAGAACAUGGUGCAGGAGCGGUCCCAGUUCAAUGAGACCGUCGCCAAGUACCAGCAGCGGAUCAAGGAGCUGCAGGGGAUGAACGAUUUGCUGUCGUUCCAUCUCAGGAGGGCGAAUCAACAGAGUAGCAUAUCUGGGCGCCGCAACCCCGACGUCUUCUAG